RNAcentral lists this ribosomal RNA (266 nucleotides) under Klebsiella pneumoniae. RNAcentral's name for it is "partial 23S ribosomal RNA". It matches the Rfam family "Bacterial large subunit ribosomal RNA", at positions 1327 to 1596 of the family's 2925-position model. The record is from RNAcentral. Lineage: Bacteria; Pseudomonadati; Pseudomonadota; Gammaproteobacteria; Enterobacterales; Enterobacteriaceae.
AGCCCGCUCGCCGGAAAGACCGAAGGUUCCUGUCCAACGUUAAUCGGGGCAGGUGAGUACGACCCUAAGGCGAGGCCGAAAGGCGUAGUCGAUGGGAAACAGGUUAAUAUUCCUGUACUUGGUGUUACUGGCGAAGGGGGACGGAGAAGGCUAUGUUAGCCGGGCGACGGUUGUCCCGGUUUAAGCAUGUAGGCUGGUUAUCCAGGCAAAUCCGGAUAAUCAAGGCUGAGGUGUGAUGACGAGGCACUACGGUGCUGAAGUAACAA